RNAcentral lists this ribosomal RNA (253 nucleotides) under uncultured bacterium. RNAcentral's name for it is "partial 16S ribosomal RNA". It matches the Rfam family "Bacterial small subunit ribosomal RNA", at positions 524 to 776 of the family's 1533-position model. The record is from RNAcentral.
UACGUAGGUGGCAAGCGUUAUCCGGAUUUAUUGGGCGUAAAGGGAACGCAGGCGGUCUUUUAAGUCUGAUGUGAAAGCCUUCGGCUUAACCGGAGUAGUGCAUUGGAAACUGGGAGACUUGAGUGCAGAAGAGGAGAGUGGAACUCCAUGUGUAGCGGUGAAAUGCGUAGAUAUAUGGAAGAACACCAGUGGCGAAAGCGGCUCUCUGGUCUGUAUCUGACGCUGAGGUUCGAAAGCGUGGGUAGCAAACAGG